GAGAAUGUGUUUACCGGGCAGUCCAAGAUCUACACCUACAUGAGCCCGAACAAAUGCUCUGGAAUGCGUUCCCCCCUUCAGGAAGAGAACUCAGUUGCACAUCACGAAGUCAAAUGCCAGGGGAAGCCAUUAGCCGGAAUCUACAGGAAACGGGAAGAGAAAAGAAACACUGGGAACGCAAUACGAAGCACCAUGAAGUCCGAGGAACUAAAGAUCAAAGACGCCAGGAGAGGUCCCCUGGCACCUUUUCCAAACCAAAAACCCGAAGUAGCAGAACCUCCAAAAACUCCGACCUCGUCUUGUGAUUCCUCCGGUGCAGCCAUCGCCAAGCAAGCCCUGAAGAAGCCCGUCAAGGGCAAGCAGGCGCCUCGGAAAAAAGCUCAAGGAAAAACGCAACAGAAUCGCAAACUCACAGAUUUCUACCCUGUGCGAAGGAGCUCCAGGAAGAGCAAGGCCGAGCUGCAGUUUGAAGAAAGGAGAAGACUAGACGAAUUGAUCGAAAGCGGGAAGGAAGAAGGCAUGAAGAUUGACCUCAUCGAUGGCAAAGGCAGGGGCGUGAUCGCCACCAAGCAGUUCUCCCGGGGCGAUUUUGUGGUGGAAUACCACGGGGACCUCAUCGAGAUCACCGACGCCAAGAAGCGGGAGGCUCUGUAUGCGCAAGACCCCUCCACCGGCUGCUACAUGUACUAUUUCCAGUAUUUGAGCAAAACCUACUGCGUGGAUGCAACGAGGGAGACAAAUCGCCUGGGAAGACUGAUCAAUCACAGUAAAUGUGGGAACUGCCAAACCAAACUGCACGACAUCGACGGCGUGCCUCACCUCAUCCUCAUCGCCUCCCGCGACAUCGAGGCGGGGGAGGAGCUCCUGUACGACUACGGGGACCGCAGCAGGGCCUCCAUCGAGGCCUACCCCUGGCUGAAGCAUUAACCGCCCGCCUCCCCCCUCCAGUGGACAAAGUGCCCUCAAAGGGAAUUGAUUUUUUUUUUUUUACACACACUUAAUAUUAGCAGAUUACUUCAGAUGUUUUUAAAAAGUAUAUUAAGAUGCCUUUUCACUGUAGUAUUUAAAUAUCUGUUACAGGUUUCCACAGUGGACUUGAACAGAUGGCCUUAUAUUACCAAAACUUUUAUAUUCUAGUUGUUUUUGUACCUUUUUUGCAUACAAGCCGAACGUUUGUGCUUCCCGCGCUCGCUCGCGUGCAUGCAGUCAGGCUCGGCGCAGGUUUCCGAGGAGAGUCUUCGAACACGAACCAGGAAGCGGGGGGCCGCGGAGCCCGGACUCUUCCCCGCACCCCGACGUCCGAGCGCGCACCCCGAUGUCCGAGCAGCACGGGGCGGCCAAGACGACGCCUGCCGCCUCCCGACGGCCCCCACGGGAUGUUCCCAAGCUCUUGUUUUCCUGCCGUCUGGACAGGCGCACCCGGAAGUGUAUGAAUCUUUUUUAAAGGGUUUCGCACCACCCUCACCCCCACCCUGACCCGAUUCUGCUGGGUUGAAAGGUCCAGACCUGCUGUCAUGCUGUUUGUCAGACCACCUGGUGUUCUUCCUGCGACACGCAGACCGCGCAGCCGAGAACCAAGGGUGAGCCCGAGAGCCCUGGAGUGCAGGCCCCACCCCAAGGGGAGGGGGCAGGUGCAGCACCCAGGGAUCAAGGCGAAGGGUACAGUUUUCACCUCGACUGUGAUGAUUGUGACGGCAGGAGGUGUAGGUAGCUGCCCCCUCCCGCCCGAAGGGGGACUGAUUCUCACUCUCUCCACCUGCGGUCCAGGGGGCCUGGCUCUGGAACCACCACCUGGGGUCUCCGGACCCCCUGGUCCCAGGUAAAUGUGAAUGGAGACAGGUGUGAGGGCCUGUCCUCAACCUUGGUGCCCCCCAGCCCCCACCCCGCGCACCCCAGCCUCACGACGGUGCUACCUAGGAAAGUCUUCCCCCCCGCCCCACACUUGCCUGGUCAGUGGUCAGCCAAUUGGAGGAGGAUCCGACGGAGCGUGUCAAUGUGAAGUAAAAUGUCUCGGUUGUACCUGUUUGUGGUUUAGCUUUGUAUUUAAAAAACAAAA
This is an RNA transcript of Myotis lucifugus (little brown bat), 2056 nucleotides long. It is a transcript of the gene named lysine methyltransferase 5A, with no coding region annotated. The record is from RefSeq and is a predicted model, not a curated record. NCBI's taxonomy places the organism in Eukaryota, Metazoa, Chordata, Mammalia, Chiroptera, Vespertilionidae. The transcript has 7 exons.